CGUGUAGGCGGUUUGUUAAGUCUGAUGUGAAAGCCCCGGGCUCAACCUGGGAAGUGCAUUGGAUACUGGCAGACUUGAAUACGGGAGAGGGUAGUGGAUUCCUGGUGUAGGAGUGAAAUCCGUAGAUAUCAGGAGGAACACCGGUGGCGAAGGCGGCUACCUGGACCGAUAUUGACGCUGAGACGCGAAAGCGUGGGGAGCAAACAGGAUUAGAUACCCUGGUAGUCCACGCCGUAAACGAUGAGUACUAGGUGUUGCGGGUAUUGACCCCUGCAGUGCCGCAGCUAACGCAUUAAGUACUCCGCCUGGGAAGUACGGUCGCAAGACUAAA
This 331-nucleotide ribosomal RNA is filed under the name uncultured bacterium. RNAcentral's name for it is "bacterial SSU rRNA". It matches the Rfam family "Bacterial small subunit ribosomal RNA", at positions 568 to 898 of the family's 1533-position model. The record is from RNAcentral.